RNAcentral lists this ribosomal RNA (397 nucleotides) under uncultured bacterium. RNAcentral describes it as "partial 16S ribosomal RNA". It matches the Rfam family "Bacterial small subunit ribosomal RNA", at positions 523 to 918 of the family's 1533-position model. The record is from RNAcentral.
AUACGUAGGUGGCGAGCGUUGUCCGGAAUUACUGGGCGUAAAGGAUGCGUAGGUGGAUAUUUAAGUGGGAUGUGAAAUCCCCGGGCUCAACCCGGGAACUGCAUUCCAAACUGGGUAUCUAGAGUGCAGGAGAGGAAAGCGGAAUUCCUAGUGUAGCGGUGAAAUGCGUAGAUAUUAGGAGGAACACCAGUGGCGAAGGCGGCUUUCUGGACUGUAACUGACACUGAGGCAUGAAAGCGUGGGUAGCAAACAGGAUUAGAUCCCCUGGUAGUCCACGCCGUAAACGAUGGGUACUAGGUGUAGGAGGUAUCGACCCCUUCUGUGCCGUCGUUAACACAAUAAGUACCCCGCCUGGGGAGUACGGUCGCAAGACUAAAACUCAAAUGAAUUGACGGGG